This 1772-nucleotide ribosomal RNA is filed under the name Arcyria oerstedii. RNAcentral's name for it is "partial small subunit ribosomal RNA". It matches the Rfam family "Eukaryotic small subunit ribosomal RNA", at positions 26 to 1647 of the family's 1831-position model. The record is from RNAcentral. Lineage: Eukaryota; Evosea; Eumycetozoa; Trichiida; Trichiidae.
AUAUGCUUGCUCCGAAGCUUAAGCCAUGCAUGUCUAAGAAUAAGUAGCUUGAUCCUGAAUCUGCGAACGGCUCCGUAUAUCUGUUAUAACCCAUUGCCUCUCGCACCCUCUCGACGGAUACCCACGGUAAUUCUGUGGCUAAUACGUAGAUCUGCCCGGGGUCUCCUUAUGGGACCUUGGGGUAUCGCGCCUAUACUCACCAGUGCCCCCCCUCGUCCUGGUGGGCGGGGGUGGGUGCGGCAGGAAAGGCUCGCGGUUAUCCAAUGCCGGCUCGGGGAGCCGGGGAGAGCAGGGGGUUUCAGACCUAUCAACUAGAAGACUGGGGAGAGCCCAGCCUUGGUUAUAACGGGUACAGAGGAUCAGGGUUCGGUCCUGGAGAGGUAGCCUGAGAGAUCGCUACUACUUCUAAGGAAGGCAGCAGGCGCGCAACGUUCCCAAUGGGCAUUUGCCUGAGGACGUGAAGGGGCAUAGCAAUGCCGGGCCAUAUGGCUCGGCAAUUGAAAUGGGGUGUCUUUAAAUCCCACACCGAGUAACAAUUGGAGGACAAGUCUGGUGCCAGCACCCGCGGUAAUUCCAGCUCCGAUAGCAUCUAAUUAAGUUGUUGCAGUUAAAACGCUCGUAGUCGUAUUUGGUGUGGGGCUUCGGCGACUAGUAGUCCCCGGGAACAACGUGCCUUGGCCCUCGUCCCCCCCCGCCCCUGUAAGGCCGGCAGCCCGCAAGGGCCGUCGUGUGCUGGGGGCGGGGGGUAGGGGUGUCCAUUGGCAUGCCCGGGGGGGAACACCGUCAGGGCCCCCGCCCUCUCAGCCCCGGUACUUGCGGGGGGCCGGCUUUAUUGCCCGGCUCACCGUCCCGGGGUGGUUUACUUUGAAUAAAAUCGAGCGCUCAACGCAGGCCUUACGGCCCACCCACAACCCCCCUGAAGAUAGCAGCAAAGGAUAAUGAAACAGGAUCCCUCCUGGUUCAUUGGUGUUAGGCGGGGAUAAUGGUCAAUACGGGGGAUCGGGGCCGGCCACACGGCGGGGGGAGGGGUGAAAUCUGUUGAUCCCCGCCAGGUGAACCAGAGCGAAAGCAGCCGGCCAGUACCCUUUGUUUGAUCAAGAACGAAAGUCUGGGGAUCGAAGACGAUUAGAUACCGUCGUAGUCCAGACCCUAAAUGAUGCCGGCCAUGGAUGGGCCCGAGUCCAUCCCGACCCGGCCUGGACCUUGUGGGAAACCAUUAAGCGUUUGGGCUCUGGGGGGAGUAUGGCCGCAAGGCUGAAACUUAAAGGAAUUGACGGAAAAGCACACAAGGAGUGGAGCCUGCGGCUUAAUUUGACUCAACACGGGGAAACUUACUAGAGCAAGAGAGGGGUAUGAGGGCCAGCCUAGCAGGGCUUGCCCGAUUCCCUCAGUGGUGGUGCAUGGUCGUUCUUAGUUCGUGGAGUGAUUUGUCUGGUCUAUUCCGCUAACGAACGAGAACCCGACCUCCCGGUGUUGGGGCCCCGGGCAUGCCAGCCUCCCCCUCGGGGUCGAGGCAGGCUGAGAAAGCCCGGGGGCCCGGCCUGGGGGGGCCGCCCCCGUCAAGGGGCCGUUAGCGGGUCAAUAACAGGUCAGUGAUGCCCUUAGAUGCUCUAGGCCGCACGCGCGCUACAAUGGGGGGAACUAGCGGGUUCGGGGCCCCGGAAGGCGGCGCCAGAUCCUCGAAAUCCCCCCUCACUCGGGAUAGGGCUAUGUAACGCGGCCCUUGAACAAGGAAUUUCUAGUAGCCAUGGGUCAGCACCCCGUGGCGAUUC